AGACGAAGGGAGCGAGCGUUGUUCGGUAUCACUGGGCUUAAAGGGCGCGUAGGCGGCCAGAUGGGUCGGUUGUGAAAUCCCUGGGCUCAACCCAGGAAUGGCUUCCGAAACUAUUUGGCUUGAGGCAUUCUGGGGGCGACUGGAACUCUUGGUGGAGCGGUGAUAUGCGUAGAUAUCAAGAGGAACGCCAGUGGUGAAGACGGGUCGCUGGGAAUGUCCUGACGCUCAGGCGCGAAAGCUAGGGGAGCGAACGGGAUUAGAAACCCUAGUAGUCC
This 275-nucleotide ribosomal RNA is filed under the name uncultured bacterium. RNAcentral describes it as "partial 16S ribosomal RNA". It matches the Rfam family "Bacterial small subunit ribosomal RNA", at positions 523 to 796 of the family's 1533-position model. The record is from RNAcentral.